CGAAGGACCCAAGCGUUAUCCGGAUUUAUGGGUUUAAAGGGUGCGUAGGCGGAUUAUUAAGUCAGUGGUGAAAGCCUGCAGCUUAACUGCAGAACUGCCAUUGAUACUGAUGAUCUUGAGUAUGAUUGAGGUGGGCGGAAUGUGUCAUGUAGCGGUGAAAUGCUUAGAUAUGACACAGAACACCGAUUGCGAAGGCAGCUCAAUAAGCCAUAACUGACGCUGAUGCACGAAAGCGUGGGGAGCAAACAGGAUUAGAUACCCUGGUAGUCCACGCCCUAAACGAUGAUCACUCGAUGUGUGCGAUACACUGUACGCGUCUGAGCGAAAGCAUUAAGUGAUCCACCUGGGGAGUACGACCGCAAGGUUG
RNAcentral lists this ribosomal RNA (367 nucleotides) under uncultured organism. Its description in RNAcentral is "bacterial SSU rRNA". It matches the Rfam family "Bacterial small subunit ribosomal RNA", at positions 526 to 896 of the family's 1533-position model. The record is from RNAcentral.